CCUACGGGAGGCAGCAGUGGGGAAUAUUGGGCAAUGCGCGCAAGCCUGACCCAGCAACGCCGCGUGAAGGAAGAAGGCUUUCGGGUUGUAAACUUCUUUUGACAGGGAAGAGAAGACGACGGUACCUGUCGAAUAAGCUACGGCUAACUACGUGCCAGCAGCCGCGGUAAUACGUAGGUGGCAAGCGUUGUCCGGAUUUACUGGGUGUAAAGGGCGUGUAGCCGGGCUGACAAGUAAGAUGUGAAAUCCGAGGGCUCAACCCCCGAACGGCCUGUGAAACUGUUGGUCUUGAGUAUCGGAGAGGCAGGCAGAAUUCCUGGUGUAGCGGUGAAAUGCGUAGAUAUUAGGAGGAACACCAGUGGCGAAGGCGGCCUGCUGGACGACAACUGACGGUGAGGCGCGAAAGCGUGGGUAGCAAACAGGAUUAGAUACCCGAGUAGUC
RNAcentral lists this ribosomal RNA (442 nucleotides) under uncultured bacterium. RNAcentral describes it as "partial 16S ribosomal RNA". It matches the Rfam family "Bacterial small subunit ribosomal RNA", at positions 338 to 795 of the family's 1533-position model. The record is from RNAcentral.